AAUCGUAACAGGUUUCCGUAGGUGAACCUGCGGAAGGAUCAUUAAUGAAUUUAGAUUGAACCAUAGGCGAAAGCCAGUGGUUCUUCUUUCAUAUCCAUAACACCUGUGCACUGUUGGAUGCUUGCAUCCACUUUUAAACUAAACAUUAUUGUAACAAAUGUAGUCUUAUUAUAACAUAAUAAAACUUUCAACAACGGAUCUCUUGGCUCUCGCAUCGAUGAAGAACGCAGCGAAAUGCGAUAAGUAAUGUGAAUUGCAGAAUUCAGUGAAUCAUCGAAUCUUUGAACGCACCUUGCGCUCCUUGGUAUUCCGAGGAGCAUGCCUGUUUGAGUGUCAUGAAACCCUCAAACCCAAGUUUUGGAUUUCGAUCCAUGCUUGAGUUUGGAUUUGGAUGUUUGCCGGUGAUGAACCGACUCAUCUUAAAAGUAUUAGCUUGGAUCUGUCUAUAUGACUGGUUUGACUUGGCAUAAUAAGUAUUUUGCUGAGGACAUCUUCGGAUGGCCAGGACCUAGACUACUGUCUGCUAACUAAACCAUCACUUUAAGUGCAUCUUUGGAUGUUACUCAUUGUGUAACUUUGACAUCUGGCCUCAAAUCAAGUAGGACUACCCGCUGAACUUAAGCAUAUCA
Molecule: ribosomal RNA, 629 nt
Filed under: uncultured fungus
Lineage: Eukaryota; Fungi
Description: eukaryotic LSU rRNA
Rfam family: 5.8S ribosomal RNA (bases 183-336)
Source: RNAcentral